UUUUGUAUCAAUAGCCCAGACAACAUCUAUGGUACUGUUAGGUAGCCAAUAUACCUAAAAAUAUAAGUUUGAACUUGCUUUUCCUAUUAAGAACCAAUAUUUGUUUUGCAUUUCUUUUGUUAAGAGCACUACUUCAGCUGAGCAAUCUGAGAAGAAAAAACCAAAUUUGACAAAAAAAAUGGAAAUUGAAAGAACAAACGAAUAGGAAAGAGUAAGAAAGCUCUUCUCUGUGUUAGAGCAACAAUGUUCUGGGUGCAGCAGGCAUGAAAGGCAUAUCAGUGGAAUAAAAACUCUGUGAUAGCUGAUGGGAUGAACUUAAGAGUGUUGAGCCAGUGUCAUCCAAAGUUCACUUGGCAGCAGAAUCAUUGCUGAA
Molecule: unclassified non-coding RNA, 373 nt
Filed under: Hevea brasiliensis (rubber tree)
Lineage: Eukaryota; Viridiplantae; Streptophyta; Magnoliopsida; Malpighiales; Euphorbiaceae
Source: RNAcentral